UACGUAGGGUGCAAGCGUUAAUCGGAUUUACUGGGUUUAAAGGGUGCGUAGGUGGGCAGGUAAGUCAGUGGUGAAAUCUCCGGGCUUAACCCGGAAACUGCCAUUGAUACUAUCUGUCUUGAAUACCGUGGAGGUGAGCGGAAUAUGUCAUGUAGCGGUGAAAUGCUUAGAUAUGACAUAGAACACCAAUUGCGAAGGCAGCUCACUACGCGAAUAUUGACACUGAGGCACGAAAGCGUGGGGAUCAAACAGG
This 253-nucleotide ribosomal RNA is filed under the name uncultured bacterium. RNAcentral describes it as "partial 16S ribosomal RNA". It matches the Rfam family "Bacterial small subunit ribosomal RNA", at positions 524 to 776 of the family's 1533-position model. The record is from RNAcentral.